This 61-nucleotide microRNA precursor is filed under the name Pristionchus pacificus. RNAcentral describes it as "mir-8364 microRNA precursor family". It matches the Rfam family "mir-8364 microRNA precursor family". The record is from Rfam by way of RNAcentral. Lineage: Eukaryota; Metazoa; Nematoda; Chromadorea; Rhabditida; Neodiplogasteridae.
UCUUCAUCUCAUGUACUCUCUCGCAGGUCAGAGAGGCGAGAGAGCACGCGAAAUGAGGAGA